AGUUUCGGGCCAGUUGGGAACUGUGGAAGGGCUGGGCAGGGGAACCAGAUCAGGGCCCACUCUGCUAUUGAUGGGGAGCACAGGGCUGGAGGGGGCUGGUUGGGGCCAGCACAGAAUGGGGACGGGCAGAGGGUUGGAGAGCCGCCAGGAGGCUGAGUCCACAGGUGGGGCUGGGAGGGGCCGAGGUGACUUGGUGUUUGCACAUGGGGGAACGACGGGUCCCGGCCCAGUGGGCGGUGGUGCCUGUGGGACCCUGGUCAUCUGGGAUGGCCUGGCUCUCAGGGCCUGAGGUAGUGAGGCUGUAUAGGAGGGGCCUCACCUGGGCCAGAGGCACUGUGGCCCCGGGACUGAAAACUCAUCUUUGUUUGCUCAGCACUGGGCCCAGUGAGCACAGGCAGGUGAGGGAGUGAGGGUCCCACUGUUGGGAGGUGGGGGAGGCGUGUUUCCAGCUCCUGGCUGAGGGCUGCACCCAGCCUGCUGCUAAGCCACCGAAAUGAGGGUGAAGAGAGCAGUCGUGGCCUGUGAGGGUCAUUGCAGCUGCGCCCACGCGCCAGGGUGAGGAUGGAGGAUGGAGCUAAAUGUGGGUCAACCCCUCCUUUCCUGGUCAUUGUUACCUCGACUUCUAAGUGAGGAAUCUUCUGGGGAAAUGACAGAGGCCCCCGCAGGGACACUGUUUGCUGCUGGCCAGGUGUGAGGGGGCUGCUGUGUCAGUGGGCAGCAGGGACGGCUCUAAAGCCAGGCUGGGCCCAGCAGUGCCCCACAGGCAGGAGCCCAAGAAGUCCCUGCCUCGCCACGUGGUGAGACCCUUGCCCACAUCUGGGCGGGGCCAGCGCUGCUGAAGACUACUUUUUUCUGUUACAAAAAAGUGGGAUAGCCGGGCGCGGUGGCUCACGCCUGUAAUCCCAGCACUUUGGGAGGCUGAGGUGGGCAGAUCACGAGUUUGGGAGUUCAAGACCAGCCUGGCCAAGAUGGUGAAACCCCGUCUCUACUAAAAAUACAAAAA
RNAcentral lists this long non-coding RNA (1003 nucleotides) under Homo sapiens (human). Its description in RNAcentral is "non-protein coding lnc-DEF8-3:1". Lineage: Eukaryota; Metazoa; Chordata; Mammalia; Primates; Hominidae. The record is from RNAcentral.